CCGCCGGCACCGGCGCACGGGUGAGUAACACGUAUGCAACCUGGCCGUGACAGAUGGAUAACCGGGAGAAAUCCCGCCUAAUACAACAUAAUGCCGGGAGGGGACAUCCCCUGCCGGCCAAAGGGGCGACCCCGGUCACGGAUGGGCAUGCGGCGCAUUAGGUAGUUGGUGGGGCAACGGCCCACCAAGCCGACGAUGCGUAGGGGUUCUGAGAGGAAGGUCCCCCACAUUGGAACUGAGACACGGUCCAAACUCCUACGGGAGGCAGCAG
RNAcentral lists this ribosomal RNA (271 nucleotides) under uncultured bacterium. RNAcentral describes it as "partial 16S ribosomal RNA". It matches the Rfam family "Bacterial small subunit ribosomal RNA", at positions 86 to 354 of the family's 1533-position model. The record is from RNAcentral.